AACACCCUCCUUUUGGCACUACUCACCCCUCAUACUUUCUGUAAUAAAAAUGCUGAAUCAGCAAAUCACGUUUUGAAGAUGGCCAAAAUCUAUUGCCUGGGCUGGAGCGGCUGGAGGCUUUGUCCAGUCCUAUUGUGAGUCACAGUGACAUAGCCAGGACCAUGGAGAGAGACCAUUGCUGAGGAGGUGGGAAUGGCAAGUUCCUGACCAAUCAGAUGAUCCUACAUGACGAAGCUGCUCGUAAAGAUGCAAGUCUGAUGACAAACUCAGGAUGAUGAGGCCAUGUUCAAGCUGAACCCCAAUGCAAAGACGUCAAGUUCAAGCUGAAUGCCUAAGAGUUCAAACCUCCGAGAGCAAGCUUCUCUCCAGUGGUCACUGCCUCCUCCACACCUCUCUGGGCCAUGUUCAAGCUGAACCCCAAUGCAAAGACGUCAAGUUCAAGCUGAAUGCCUAAGAGUUCAAACCUCCGAGAGCAAGCUUCUCUCCAGUGGUCACUGCCUCCUCCACACCUCCGAGACAAGGCGACUAUCGAGUCCUCAGCCUCUGCCCUACAGGAGCAAAAUAAUUCCGUUUCUGCUUGUGUCACCAAACUGGAGGUAAAAGUUUACGUAAGGACUUUGAGAAGGAGCGGAAAAAUGAGUACAAAGAGAAGUACCUCUCGCUAUUAGGAUGAGUGCUGACUCGGCUCUGUUUAAGUCCAAGAGCAAGAAAUCAAAGUGGCUCGACUAGUGAGUUGUGUCACGUCAGUUAGUGUGUAGAGUUGCAGUGAUCGAUACACCUGUACAUACGUUUUCUUGUAAUUGCCUACUUAAUCUUGUCACUCUAUAGGGGUUUUAUAAAUUAUAGAGUACAGCUACUGUUUUACUGUUUCACUGGAAGUAUAAUUAUGUAGUGCAAUAAAGUACGUGUCUAUGAUUCUACUAAAACUCCUUUCUCAAAAGUUUCAGCCUAUAGUCUAGUUUUAUUUUAUUACUUGCUUAGCCAUACUAUUGUACACUACUUACUAUUGUAUAACACUGUGUGGGUAGGCACUUCAUGUGGUGUGUGUGUGGUGUCCCUUUUAUCAUAGUUGAGCCAUUUUGCAUUUAGCCAGUAUAAAUUAUAGCUACUGUUAUCAUGUGAUUUUCUCACCCCUUACUUCCUAAGCCCUCAAACUUCCACUCAUUACGACUAUGAUCAUGUGACUCUUUAACCCCUCAGUUCCCGAGCCCCACCCCUCACUGUCUGACUCGGAAGAGGAGAUAGACCUUGGAUUCUGGGAGAAGGCGUCCACCCUACCCUCGGACAAGACCCCAACCAAGGACCUGAACUUGUUAUGAGACCGUUAAAUAUUAUUCUGUUUUUGUACUAUUUUCUGGCAAUGUAAUUAUGUAUGUACCACUUCAUGUCAUCAUAAUAAC
Molecule: long non-coding RNA, 1400 nt
Organism: Halichondria panicea
Lineage: Eukaryota; Metazoa; Porifera; Demospongiae; Suberitida; Halichondriidae
Exons: 5
Source: RefSeq, a predicted model, not a curated record